This 253-nucleotide ribosomal RNA is filed under the name uncultured bacterium. Its description in RNAcentral is "partial 16S ribosomal RNA". It matches the Rfam family "Bacterial small subunit ribosomal RNA", at positions 524 to 776 of the family's 1533-position model. The record is from RNAcentral.
GACGGGGGGGGCAAGUGUUCUUCGGAAUCACUGGGCGUAAAGGGCGCGUAGGUGGUGACCUAAGCGUGCGGUGAAAGCCCGAGGCUCAACCUCGGGUCGGCCGUGCGAACUGGGUCACUGGAGCAGAAUAGAGGCAGGUGGAAUUCCGGGUGUAGCGGUGGAAUGCGUAGAGAUCCGGAAGAACACCGGUGGCGAAGGCGGCCUGCUGGGUUCUGGCUGACACUGAGGCGCGACAGCGUGGGGAGCAAACAGG